UACGAAGGGUGCAAGCGUUACUCGGAAUUACUGGGCGUAAAGCGUGCGUAGGUGGUUUUUUAAGUCCGUUGUGAAAGCCCUGGGCUCAACCUGGGAAUGGCAGUGGAUACUGGAAAGCUAGAGUGCGGUAGAGGGUAGUGGAAUUCCCGGUGUAGCAGUGAAAUGCGUAGAGAUCGGGAGGAACACCAGCGGCGAAGGCGGCUACCUGGACCAGCACUGACACUGAGGCACGAAAGCGUGGGGAGCAAACAGGG
This 254-nucleotide ribosomal RNA is filed under the name uncultured bacterium. RNAcentral's name for it is "partial 16S ribosomal RNA". It matches the Rfam family "Bacterial small subunit ribosomal RNA", at positions 524 to 777 of the family's 1533-position model. The record is from RNAcentral.